This 234-nucleotide ribosomal RNA is filed under the name uncultured bacterium. Its description in RNAcentral is "partial 16S ribosomal RNA". It matches the Rfam family "Bacterial small subunit ribosomal RNA", at positions 15 to 217 of the family's 1533-position model. The record is from RNAcentral.
GAUCCUGCUCAGGAUGAACGCUGGCGGCGUGCCUAAUACAUGCAAGUCGAACGCUUUGUGGUUCAACUGAUUUGAAGAGCUUGCUCAGAUAUGACGAUGGACAUUGCAAAGAGUGGCGAACGGGUGAGUAACACGUGGGAAACCUACCUCUUAGCAGGGGAUAACAUUUGGAAACAGAUGCUAAUACCGUAUAACAAUGACAACCGCAUGGUUGUUAUUUAAAAGAUGGUUCUG